Molecule: long non-coding RNA, 431 nt
Filed under: Anser brachyrhynchus (Pink-footed goose)
Lineage: Eukaryota; Metazoa; Chordata; Aves; Anseriformes; Anatidae
Description: lncRNA (ENSABRG00000019316.1)
Source: RNAcentral
CUUUGGGGACAUGGAGGCCACCUCCUUGGGGACAUUAUGUCUUGACUCUUGAGGACAUGGAGGCCACCUCCUUGGGGACAUUAUGUCUUGACUCUUGAGGACAUGGAGGCCACCUCCAUGGGGACAUGGAGGCCACCUCCUUGGGGAUGUAGAGGCCACCUCCUUGGGGAUGUAGAGGCCACCUCCUUGGGGACGUGGCAUCUUGACUCUUGGGGAGGUGGAGGCCAGCUCCAUGGGGACGUGGAGGCUACUUUGGGGAUGUGGAGGCCACCUCCUUGGGGACCUGGCAUCUUGACUCUUGAGGACAUGGAGGCCACCUCCUCAGGAAUGUGGAGGCCACCUCCUUGGGGACGUGGUGUCUUGACUCUUGGGGAUGUAGAGGCCACCUCCUUGGGGUCAUGGAGGCCACUUCUUUGGGGACGUGGAGGCCA